Molecule: long non-coding RNA, 203 nt
Filed under: Nicotiana benthamiana
Lineage: Eukaryota; Viridiplantae; Streptophyta; Magnoliopsida; Solanales; Solanaceae
Description: long non-coding RNA (NBEN_LNC008807)
Source: RNAcentral
GUGUUGGGGCUGGUGUUGGCUUUGUAUCGGCGAGUCAAGUGUACGUGUGGCACAUGAGUGGUGUUUGGCUUGUGUGGCUAGGUUGGAUCCCUGCUCGAGCAGCGAUGUCCUAGCUCGCAUGCCAUCUCAGUCAUGUCACAAGCGCAAAUUAGGCUUGUUCGACGUCGGUUUUCUGUGUUGCAUAACUAAUGCCAAGGCAUUAU